This 601-nucleotide ribosomal RNA is filed under the name uncultured Gammaproteobacteria bacterium. RNAcentral's name for it is "bacterial SSU rRNA". It matches the Rfam family "Bacterial small subunit ribosomal RNA", at positions 64 to 654 of the family's 1533-position model. Lineage: Bacteria; Pseudomonadati; Pseudomonadota; Gammaproteobacteria. The record is from RNAcentral.
ACGAAGUAUCUACGGACCUGACGUAGUAUUCGGCGGACGGGUGAGUACGCGUAGGAAUCUACCCUAGAUAGAAGGGGAUACGCCCGGGGACACACUCGGAUAAAUACCGUAUACCUCCUUCGGGAGACAAGCAGGCCUCUCAUUGAAAGCUUUCGCUACUAGAUGAGCCUGCGUAAGAUUAGCUUGUUGGUGAGGUAAAGGCUCACCAAGGCGACCGAUCUUUAACGGGUCUGAGAGGACGAUCCGCCACAUUGGGACUGAGACACGGCCCAGACUCCUACGGGAGGCCGCAGUGGGGAAUAUAGGACACUGGGCGCACGCCUGAUCCAGACAUACCGCGUGUGUGAAGAAGGCCCUAGGGUUUGUAAAAGCACCUUUAAGUAGGGAAGAAAAGUUAUAGGUAAAUAUCCACUAGCCGUGACAUUACCAUCAGAAUCAAGACCGGCUACUACCGUGCCAGCAGACGCGGUAAUACGGCAGGUCCAAGAGUAAAUCGGAAUUACUUGGGCGUAGAGCGCGCGUCGGUGGCAUCUUACGUCGGAAUGUGAAAUCCCCCGGGCUCACACUGGGAACUGCAUCCAAACCAGCUUCACUACAGUAA